This 2791-nucleotide ribosomal RNA is filed under the name Escherichia coli. Its description in RNAcentral is "bacterial LSU rRNA". It matches the Rfam family "Bacterial large subunit ribosomal RNA". The record is from RNAcentral. Lineage: Bacteria; Pseudomonadati; Pseudomonadota; Gammaproteobacteria; Enterobacterales; Enterobacteriaceae.
UUAAGCGACUAAGCGUACACGGUGGAUGCCCUGGCAGUCAGAGGCGAUGAAGGACGUGCUAAUCUGCGAUAAGCGUCGGUAAGGUGAUAUGAACCGUUAUAACCGGCGAUUUCCGAAUGGGGAAACCCAGUGUGUUUCGACACACUAUCAUUAACUGAAUCCAUAGGUUAAUGAGGCGAACCGGGGGAACUGAAACAUCUAAGUACCCCGAGGAAAAGAAAUCAACCGAGAUUCCCCCAGUAGCGGCGAGCGAACGGGGAGCAGCCCAGAGCCUGAAUCAGUGUGUGUGUUAGUGGAAGCGUCUGGAAAGGCGCGCGAUACAGGGUGACAGCCCCGUACACAAAAAUGCACAUGCUGUGAGCUCGAUGAGUAGGGCGGGACACGUGGUAUCCUGUCUGAAUAUGGGGGGACCAUCCUCCAAGGCUAAAUACUCCUGACUGACCGAUAGUGAACCAGUACCGUGAGGGAAAGGCGAAAAGAACCCCGGCGAGGGGAGUGAAAAAGAACCUGAAACCGUGUACGUACAAGCAGUGGGAGCACGCUUAGGCGUGUGACUGCGUACCUUUUGUAUAAUGGGUCAGCGACUUAUAUUCUGUAGCAAGGUUAACCGAAUAGGGGAGCCGAAGGGAAACCGAGUCUUAACUGGGCGUUAAGUUGCAGGGUAUAGACCCGAAACCCGGUGAUCUAGCCAUGGGCAGGUUGAAGGUUGGGUAACACUAACUGGAGGACCGAACCGACUAAUGUUGAAAAAUUAGCGGAUGACUUGUGGCUGGGGGUGAAAGGCCAAUCAAACCGGGAGAUAGCUGGUUCUCCCCGAAAGCUAUUUAGGUAGCGCCUCGUGAAUUCAUCUCCGGGGGUAGAGCACUGUUUCGGCAAGGGGGUCAUCCCGACUUACCAACCCGAUGCAAACUGCGAAUACCGGAGAAUGUUAUCACGGGAGACACACGGCGGGUGCUAACGUCCGUCGUGAAGAGGGAAACAACCCAGACCGCCAGCUAAGGUCCCAAAGUCAUGGUUAAGUGGGAAACGAUGUGGGAAGGCCCAGACAGCCAGGAUGUUGGCUUAGAAGCAGCCAUCAUUUAAAGAAAGCGUAAUAGCUCACUGGUCGAGUCGGCCUGCGCGGAAGAUGUAACGGGGCUAAACCAUGCACCGAAGCUGCGGCAGCGACGCUUAUGCGUUGUUGGGUAGGGGAGCGUUCUGUAAGCCUGCGAAGGUGUGCUGUGAGGCAUGCUGGAGGUAUCAGAAGUGCGAAUGCUGACAUAAGUAACGAUAAAGCGGGUGAAAAGCCCGCUCGCCGGAAGACCAAGGGUUCCUGUCCAACGUUAAUCGGGGCAGGGUGAGUCGACCCCUAAGGCGAGGCCGAAAGGCGUAGUCGAUGGGAAACAGGUUAAUAUUCCUGUACUUGGUGUUACUGCGAAGGGGGGACGGAGAAGGCUAUGUUGGCCGGGCGACGGUUGUCCCGGUUUAAGCGUGUAGGCUGGUUUUCCAGGCAAAUCCGGAAAAUCAAGGCUGAGGCGUGAUGACGAGGCACUACGGUGCUGAAGCAACAAAUGCCCUGCUUCCAGGAAAAGCCUCUAAGCAUCAGGUAACAUCAAAUCGUACCCCAAACCGACACAGGUGGUCAGGUAGAGAAUACCAAGGCGCUUGAGAGAACUCGGGUGAAGGAACUAGGCAAAAUGGUGCCGUAACUUCGGGAGAAGGCACGCUGAUAUGUAGGUGAAGCGACUUGCUCGUGGAGCUGAAAUCAGUCGAAGAUACCAGCUGGCUGCAACUGUUUAUUAAAAACACAGCACUGUGCAAACACGAAAGUGGACGUAUACGGUGUGACGCCUGCCCGGUGCCGGAAGGUUAAUUGAUGGGGUUAGCGCAAGCGAAGCUCUUGAUCGAAGCCCCGGUAAACGGCGGCCGUAACUAUAACGGUCCUAAGGUAGCGAAAUUCCUUGUCGGGUAAGUUCCGACCUGCACGAAUGGCGUAAUGAUGGCCAGGCUGUCUCCACCCGAGACUCAGUGAAAUUGAACUCGCUGUGAAGAUGCAGUGUACCCGCGGCAAGACGGAAAGACCCCGUGAACCUUUACUAUAGCUUGACACUGAACAUUGAGCCUUGAUGUGUAGGAUAGGUGGGAGGCUUNGAAGUGUGGACGCCAGUCUGCAUGGAGCCGACCUUGAAAUACCACCCUUUAAUGUUUGAUGUUCUAACGUUGACCCGUAAUCCGGGUUGCGGACAGUGUCUGGUGGGUAGUUUGACUGGGGCGGUCUCCUCCUAAAGAGUAACGGAGGAGCACGAAGGUUGGCUAAUCCUGGUCGGACAUCAGGAGGUUAGUGCAAUGGCAUAAGCCAGCUUGACUGCGAGCGUGACGGCGCGAGCAGGUGCGAAAGCAGGUCAUAGUGAUCCGGUGGUUCUGAAUGGAAGGGCCAUCGCUCAACGGAUAAAAGGUACUCCGGGGAUAACAGGCUGAUACCGCCCAAGAGUUCAUAUCGACGGCGGUGUUUGGCACCUCGAUGUCGGCUCAUCACAUCCUGGGGCUGAAGUAGGUCCCAAGGGUAUGGCUGUUCGCCAUUUAAAGUGGUACGCGAGCUGGGUUUAGAACGUCGUGAGACAGUUCGGUCCCUAUCUGCCGUGGGCGCUGGAGAACUGAGGGGGGCUGCUCCUAGUACGAGAGGACCGGAGUGGACGCAUCACUGGUGUUCGGGUUGUCAUGCCAAUGGCACUGCCCGGUAGCUAAAUGCGGAAGAGAUAAGUGCUGAAAGCAUCUAAGCACGAAACUUGCCCCGAGAUGAGUUCUCCCUGAC